RNAcentral lists this ribosomal RNA (484 nucleotides) under uncultured bacterium. Its description in RNAcentral is "partial 16S ribosomal RNA". It matches the Rfam family "Bacterial small subunit ribosomal RNA", at positions 30 to 507 of the family's 1533-position model. The record is from RNAcentral.
AUUGAACGCUGGCGGCAGGCCUAACACAUGCAAGUCGAGCGGAUGAAGGGAGCUUGCUCCUGGAUUCAGCGGCGGACGGGUGAGUAAUGCCUAGGAAUCUGCCUGGUAGUGGGGGAUAACGUCCGGAAACGGGCGCUAAUACCGCAUACGUCCUGAGGGAGCAAGUGGGGGAUCUUCGGACCUCACGCUAUCAGAUGAGCCUAGGUCGGAUUAGCUAGUUGGUGGGGUAAAGGCCUACCAAGGCGACGAUCCGUAACUGGUCUGAGAGGAUGAUCAGUCACACUGGAACUGAGACACGGUCCAGACUCCUACGGGAGGCAGCAGUGGGGAAUAUUGGACAAUGGGCGAAAGCCUGAUCCAGCCAUGCCGCGUGUGUGAAGAAGGUCUUCGGAUUGUAAAGCACUUUAAGUUGGGAGGAAGGGCAGUAAGUUAAUACCCUGCUGUUUUGACGUUACCAACAGAAUAAGCACCGGCUAACUUCGUG